Molecule: long non-coding RNA, 1086 nt
Filed under: Chinchilla lanigera (long-tailed chinchilla)
Lineage: Eukaryota; Metazoa; Chordata; Mammalia; Rodentia; Chinchillidae
Description: lncRNA (ENSCLAG00000027802.1)
Source: RNAcentral
CCCUUGCAUUAUUUGGAGGUCCUACAUCCUACAUCCUAUAUCAGUACCGCAAACAAAACAAAACAAAAACAAAGCCAUACCUGUCCCGUGUGCUCUGCAUAGGUUUUUCUUAUGCUAGGCCUAAUGACUAAUCAGACUGUGGCAAAACUGCCCUCUUCUGCCCCCGCCUUCACUGUCCACGUAACAAGGCUUCAUUCUUCCUCAUCUUCACUACAAUAACUUUACCAUUCCCAGAGACUCUUGCCCAGGCAAAUAGCUUGAUUGUUCAUUCCAGGAAUUUCCCCAAAGACCCGUCGACUCUUUAAUAGGAAACAUCAACAGGCAUGUUGGACCCCCAGGAUGCUUCAAACUCCUCAUCUUGCUGUUUUCAACAACCUGACACUGCUGUCUCGCUUUUCCACAAACCCAAUCAAACAAGUCCCUCUUUACGCCAAGCUUGGAACUCGCAGAGCUCUGUCUGACCUCUCUCCUGCCCCUGGCAGCCCGGACAGAGGCUGGAGGAGCUGCUGCCCGCGCACUCCGCUCGCUGAGUACUGGCUUCGGCUGUCUCGGGGGUCGGAGGGUGCUGUUUGGGCGGAGCGUUUGGCAAGAGCAAUGCCCACUACCUGCCAGCGUCUCUCUUCCGCAGAACAGGAAGUCUGUGUGCCCCUUCCCAAAGUCUCUCCCCCUUACUCUGGGAGGUUGAGAAAGGAGGAUUGCAAGCCCAGGCUGGGCAGCUCUUUCCCUCAAACUGGACUGUGUUUUGAGGAUGAGAACAAUUGAAUAGAUGUGCGGAUGAGGUCUACAGAGCUGGCCUCCGUGGAGCGAGGCCACACACAGGUGCCACGCAGCCAGUCCUGCCUCUCGAAGUUGCCCGCUCCCAGCUGGAAAGGCUUUCAGGAGGACAUUUCAAAUCAGCUGGAAGGCCGUGUGUGGUGGCACACGCCUGUAAUCCCAGCACUCGAGAGGCUGAGGCAAGAGGAUUGGCAUGACUUCGAGACCAGCCUGUGCUACAAAGUGAGCUCAAGGCCAGCCUGAACUGAAUAGCGAGACCCUGUCUCACACACACAAAAAAGAAAAGUAAAAUAAAAUCAACUGGAAACUCUA